GCUGGGCAUGGUGGCGCAUGCCUAUAAUCCCAGCUACUCAGGAGGCUGAGGUGGGAGAAUCGCUUGAACCUGGGAGGCAGAGGUUGCAGUGAGCUGAGAUCACACCACUGCACUCUAGCCUGGGCAACAGAGUGAGAUUCCAUCUCAA
Molecule: non-coding RNA, 148 nt
Filed under: Nomascus leucogenys (northern white-cheeked gibbon)
Lineage: Eukaryota; Metazoa; Chordata; Mammalia; Primates; Hylobatidae
Source: Rfam by way of RNAcentral